This 69-nucleotide transfer RNA is filed under the name Rattus norvegicus (Norway rat). It matches the Rfam family "tRNA". Rfam says of the family: Transfer RNA (tRNA) molecules are approximately 80 nucleotides in length. Their secondary structure includes four short double-helical elements and three loops (D, anti-codon, and T loops). Lineage: Eukaryota; Metazoa; Chordata; Mammalia; Rodentia; Muridae. The record is from Rfam by way of RNAcentral.
GGGGAUUUGGCUCAGUGGUAGAGCGCUUGCCUAGCAAGCGCAAGGGUCUGGGUUCGGUCCCCAGCUCCG